GCUGGCGGCGCGCCUAACACAUGCAAGUCGAACGGACGAUGCCCCUUCGGGGACAAAGUCAGUGGCGGACGGGUGAGUAACGCGUGAGUAACCUGCCCUUAUGAGUGGAAUAACGUCUGGAAACGGACGCUAAUACCGCAUAACGCAUCGAUACGGCAUCGUAUUGCUGCCAAAGAUUUAUCGCAUAAGGAUGGACUCGCGUCCCAUUAGAUAGUUGGCGGGGUAACGGCCCACCAAGUCAGCGAUGGGUAGCCGGACUGAGAGGUUGAACGGUCACAUUGGAACUGAGACACGGGCCCUACUCCUACGGGAGGCAGCAGUGGGGAAUUUUGGACAAUGGGCGAAAGCCUGAUCCAGCAACGAUGCGUGGAGGAUGAAGGUUCUCGGAUUGUAAACUCCUUUUGAGAGGGAAGAAAAAAAUGACGGUACCUCUCGAAUAAGCCACGGCUAACUACGUGCCAGCAGCCGCGGUAAGACG
RNAcentral lists this ribosomal RNA (478 nucleotides) under uncultured organism. RNAcentral's name for it is "bacterial SSU rRNA". It matches the Rfam family "Bacterial small subunit ribosomal RNA", at positions 35 to 527 of the family's 1533-position model. The record is from RNAcentral.